GUGUGUGUGUGUGUGUGGGGAGAGUAACAGUGUGUGUGUAUGUGGGGAGAGUAACAGUGUGUGUGUGUGUGUAUGGGGGAGAGUAACAGUGUGUGUGUAUGUGGGGAGAGUAACAGUGUGUGUGUAUGUGGGGAGAGUGACAGUGUGUGUGUAUGUGUGGAGAGUAACAGUGUGUGUGUGUGUGGGGGGAGUAACAGUGUGUGUGUGUGUGUGUGUGGGGAGAGUGUAACAGUGUGUGUGUGUGUGGGGAGAGUAACAGUGUGUGUGUAUGUGGGGAGAGUAACAGUGUGUGUGUGUGUGUGGGGAGAGUAACAGUGUGUGUGUGUGUGUGUGUGUAUGUGGG
Oncorhynchus tshawytscha (Chinook salmon) is the source of this 343-nucleotide long non-coding RNA. The record is from Ensembl. Lineage: Eukaryota; Metazoa; Chordata; Actinopteri; Salmoniformes; Salmonidae.